Long non-coding RNA from Girardinichthys multiradiatus, 1339 nucleotides. RefSeq lists it as uncharacterized. The transcript is spliced from 3 exons. The record is from RefSeq and is a predicted model, not a curated record. NCBI's taxonomy places the organism in Eukaryota, Metazoa, Chordata, Actinopteri, Cyprinodontiformes, Goodeidae.
AAUCAACUAUGAAAUCUUUCAAUGUAUAAUUGGUGAAAUUUUAUGUGAUGAAGCAAAAAAAAAUAAGUUCAGAUUACUGAAGUGGAAGGCAAAUCAACUUUAAAAGUUCUGGGUUGCUAUGAGCCCCUCCUUCCAAAUAACAAAUUAAAAUGAGCAAAUUAGAUUCUGGAGUGGGACAAAAUGCAGUGCAAUCCUGCACUAAACAUGUAAGCUACUCUCUAUUCUCAGCAGAUAGCACUUAAUCAACAAAUGGGGAUGCCAACUCCCCUUUGACAGGCAUUAAACCAAUACAAAUACAGUUUAGGUAACAACUGACUGAUAAAUUAAAUGUUGUUAUCUGGUGAUCAUUUGUCUCCCUGCUUAAUGCCGCCAUGGGCAACUGGACCAUUUCAAAAACUACCACUGGUUACAACUGCAAGUCUUUUUAGUUUUAUGUCCCCAUUUCUGAAGACAACAUUUUUUGCAAGUAAUAAUAGUUCAAGCUCAGUCAGAUUGGACUAGAUGCUUCAUCACAUUAACAUCAAAACAUGCAGGGCUCACUUAAACAUAUUUUCCUCUCUUUCUCUUAGCACGAAGAAACGAUGAGACCAGUUUUUAAAUGAAAACACAUUUUUAUCCAUGCCCUUGGUGAUAUAACAAAAUCUGGCAGGGGAGCCGGAAACUCCAUCCAAGAGCAAAAACAACAAGGACCCAGUGAAGGAAAGGAUUGGUGGACAGUUUCACAAGUGGAGAAGUCGUCGCAGCAAUCAUGCCUGAAAACUGUUUGGACCUGGGCAGCAGGCUGAAGAACUCGUACAAAGAGAGCUUACAGAGUGGGUGAUUUAUACCCACUGACUGCCCCCAGCUGUUUCAUUUGCCGGAGCCAAGACUAAGCAUGCAUGGCUGAAAUGGCCCAUAGAACUUAUUUAAACAUCCACGAAAUGCCAACUGAUGGGAUUUUCUGCAAAAAUGACAGAUAACGACAUCCUUAAACAUGCUUCUUACCAACACAGAUUUGCACAGUAAAUACCUUGAUUGGAAUUGGAUAAUCUGGAAGUUGGCAUUUAAAGGGAUAUUUCAGGAUUUUUCAAGUGAGGUCUUGUAAAAGGUUCCAAAUAGUUUAGAGAACUUAUAUUAGAUGGGUAAUUAUUCAAGUUAUAGAUUCAGACAGUUGCUCCUUGACAGACAUGCUGCUUGUCAACUUUAGUUUUAGAGUAAUAUUACGAUAAUAAAAGUGAUGGGUGAUGCUACUUUAUUUUCCACACCCUAAAUAUUUGUGUUUUUCAUCACCAGAACUCUUUUCCAAGAGCCACAUUUGUCUUUUUGUAAGCUAGAGAAAAGUGUAGUAGUUUUUUGGGUU